GGCCACAUCUCAUUGAAACACAGGUUCUCGUAUGAUCAUCGAAGUUAAGCAAACUUGAGCUCGGUCAGUAGCUAGAUGACUGACCGUUUGGGACUACCAGGAGCUGUAA
This is a non-coding RNA of Acanthosepion pharaonis, 109 nucleotides long. The record is from the annotation of a GenBank genome assembly. Lineage: Eukaryota; Metazoa; Mollusca; Cephalopoda; Sepiida; Sepiidae.